UAAUGCAUUAGAAUUAGAAUCUAAAUA
RNAcentral lists this transfer RNA (27 nucleotides) under Cyrtocarenum cunicularium. RNAcentral describes it as "partial tRNA-Leu". The record is from RNAcentral. Lineage: Eukaryota; Metazoa; Arthropoda; Arachnida; Araneae; Ctenizidae.